Long non-coding RNA from Homo sapiens (human), 1695 nucleotides. Ensembl annotates it as long intergenic non-protein coding RNA 1488. The record is from Ensembl. NCBI's taxonomy places the organism in Eukaryota, Metazoa, Chordata, Mammalia, Primates, Hominidae.
UGUGGGGCAGAGGGCAGCCUGAGCAUCUGCAAACAGAGUGGCUCACAGAGAGGACACCUGCCCUGAGGACACCUGCAGGAGAUCCCUACAGAGGAAGGGCUAGACCAGGCUCCAUCCAGCAAAUACAAACUCAUCUGGAAGCAUUAAAACAAUGGAAGCAGGGCCUGCUGUGCGCCAGCUGCUGGAGACAUGAAGACAUCGAAGACCCCAGGCCUUGACCUCCAAGAGCCCCCAGUUUGGUGGAAGAAACAAACAAGGAGACUGCAAAACACACCCUGUGAUGGGGAGGGUUGAGGUGGCCAGUGGGAGAGGCGAGCUGGCAGGGCUCAGUGGUGAGGUGAAGGUGUGGGAGCAGGGACACAGCAUGAAGGAGUAGAUGGCCAGGUUGAGCUUUGCAGGCUCCAGGGGGAGGAUAAAGAGCUGACACCUGGAACGUGCUUGGAACAGCAGGUGCUCGGUCAGUGCAGCCACGACCAUCCCGUCCUGCAUCCCCACCAUGAACUUGGACCUUCUGGAAGGACCUUGCUUAUCCCAGCAUCCACACAUCCUUGACCAGACCUGGUCAACAUUUGCUUAGAACCGCCUGGCUGCUGGGAUGAGAAGAGACUGGAGAGAGACCACGAUGGAAGCCAGGAGGCCAACGAGGAGUUGGGGUAGUCCUCCAGGGAGACAUGAUGUGGCUUCAGCCCCAGUGGUGAUGGCGGGGUAGAGCCAGCAGGGUUCUGAACUGAGUGGAUGUGAAAUGAGGGAAAGAGGGAUGCUGCGGUCGGCAGAAUCGUGCCUCCCGCAAAGAUGCCCCAUCCUAACCCGUCACCCUUGACAGUGAGACCUCCACCACAAAGGGGACUUUGCAGGCAUGAAGGUUAAGGACCCUGAGAGGAGGAGAUGGCCCUGGACUGUCUGGCGGGCCCAGCAUCAUCACAAGGGUGCUUAUAAGUGGAGGAGGAGGCAGGGGGAGCCGAGCAGAUGUGAGGAUAGAAGCAGAGGUCGGAGGGACGUGCUGUUGGCUUGAGAUGGAGGAGGACCUAUGAGCCAAGGAGCAUGGGCGGCCUCUGGAAGCCAGAAAGGGCAAGGCCUCUUCCCGGAGCCUCCAGCAGAACCCAGCCCCGCUGCCACCUCGACUGCAGAACGGUGACACCGUGUCCGAUUCCCGACCUCCAGAACCGUGAGAUAACACGUGUGCUGUUUUAAGCCACUGCAAUUGUGGUAUUUGUCACAGCAGCCAUAGGAAACUGUACGGGGGUUAAAGAGGACCUGCUGACCUCUGAGCUCACACUGAAGCCUCCUGGAAUGCUGUGGGUUGUGAGCUGGGAUGAGAACGCAGCAUGGAGAUGAAAGACGCAUCCACCCAGGAAGGCCCACUGGCAUCGCAAUCUCAGGGAAGAUUCCCAGGCUGAAAAAAGAGAAAGUGGCUGGGGUGGCACUGAAUGCCCCACGUCAAAGAAAUGGCACCCAAGCCGUCCGUCAGUCCCUCACCUGCCACACAGACAGCACCUUGGACCCAGCAAGAUGUCACUCACCACAUUGAUGCUGUCCACAGGCAUCGCCUUGCUUUUGCAGCUCUGUGUGAGAUUUGUCAGCUUGGUUUGGGUCUGGGGCUGUAUUAGAGCUGUCAGCCUAGGAGCCUACCCUAGUUUUGUGUCUGCACUAUUUCCAAAGCACUGGAAUAAAAGGCAUUUUAACCAACACCAGGAA